UUGAGAAUUUGAUCCUGGUUCAGGAUGAAUGCUGGCAGUGUACCUUAAGCAUGCAAGUCGAACGGAUGAGGCCGCAAGGCCAAAUCAGUGGCAGACGGGUGAGGAUUGACAGGAACCUACCUUUUGUUGGGGAAUAGCUCGCCGAAAGGCGAGAUAAUACCGCAUAAGAUCGCAAGAUGAAAGGCCUUAACCGGCCGACGAUAGAUGGGCCUGUUUGCUAUCAGCUAGUUGGUGAGGUAAUGGCUCACCAAGGCUAUGACGGCUAGGGGACGUGAGAGCGUGGUCCCCCACAAUGUUACUUAGACACGGAACAUACACCUACGGGUGGCAGCAACUGGGAAUUUUGCACAAUGGACGAAAGUCUGAUGCAGUGACACUGCGUGUAGGAUGAAGGCCCUCGGGUCGUAAACUACUGUGAUAGGGGAAAAAAUUUUGAUGGUACCCUAUUAGAAAGUACUUGCUAACUACGUGCCAGAAGCCUCGGUAAUACGUAGAGUACAAGCAUUAUCCGGAUUUAUUGGGCGUAAAGAGUAUCGUAGGCGGUCUAUUAAGUAACGGGUUAAAGCCCGGGGCUCAACCCCGGAGAUGUCCGUUAAACUGGUAGACUUGUGGAUGUUCGGGGUUACUAGAAUUCUUGGUGGAAGAGUGAAAUCUGUUGAUAUCAAGAAGAAUACCAAAAGCGAAGGCAGGUAACUAGGACAUUCCAGACGCUGAUGAACGAAAGCUAGGGGAGCGAAAGGGAUUUUGACUAGUCCCAUCACGCAGUAAUGCGUGAUUAAAGAAUCGGCUAUAUCGGUGAAAGUCCUUGCGGUUUCGGUUUACUUUCGGGUAUACUGAAUAAGUGAGGAAAACACCGAGGGAAGUUUUUAACUAUAAGAAGAAUGAAUUUUGUUUAACUAAAACUCAAAGGAGCGUUUUAAUUGGAACAAUGUUAGGUGAUAGUGGGUUGAGAUUUCGGGGAAUAAAUUGUCGUUUGCAUAUCAAGCAUAGUCUUAAACAGCUAAGUUUGGUGAAUUACAAAUGGCGUAUUUUUGAACCUAUUAUUUCAAUGAAAGUAAGAUGUUUCAGUCAGAAAGUCGGCAUGAAAGACUACAACUUUGCCGAGUUUGUGACUUUAACUCAUCCUAUUUUUACCUAUUAUUACCAGUUGUUUUAUAAAAACCACAAGAAAGUUGUUGUCGAUGAGAUGGCAACUGCAAUUGAUCCUUUGGUACUGGCUGUUUGGAUUAUGGAUGAUGGAUCUGCAGAAUAUGCUGGUUUAUCAAUCCAAACCCAUAGUUUUUCUGAAGUGGAGGUAAGUUUACUUAUCAAAGCUAUUAAGAAAAAUAUUGGGAUUCAGGCAUCGAAGCGAAUUAAUAAAGGAAAAUAUAUUAUUUAUUUCCCCUUUAGAACCUUGCGUGAUUUAAAAGCCAAGUUGGGUAAGUAUAUCUUGCCUGAGUUUGAAUAUAAAUUUAUUCCAUAUAGGGAAAAACCCCGUAGAGACUGUACGCCGGACUCCGAUGAAAAUCGGAGCAUGAUACAGUCCGAUCUGUGCAGUAAUGUACAGAGUUAACCAGAAAUGAUUAACCGCCUUGAUGAAAAUCGAGGUUAGUAUUCCACUUUGAUGGAAGAAGUAACAGUUAUGUAGAGACCCCUGUAGUCCUAGCCGUAAACUAUGAACACUAGCUAUUUCCCGUAAGGGGAGUGGCGUAAGCUAACGCGUUAAGUGUUCCGCCUGGGGAGUACGACCGCAAGGUUAAAACUCAAAGGAAUUGACGGGGAAACGCACAAUCAGCGUGCCAUGUGGUUUAAUUGGAUACGAAACCUUGAACCUUACCUAGAUUUGACAUGUAACUGCAAAUCCCUGGAAACAGGGACUCCUUCGAGGGUGUUACACAGCUGCUGCAUGGUUGUCGUCAGUUCGUGUCGUGAGCUAU
Molecule: ribosomal RNA, 1916 nt
Filed under: Candidatus Collierbacteria bacterium GW2011_GWF2_42_51
Lineage: Bacteria; Candidatus Collieribacteriota
Description: bacterial SSU rRNA
Rfam family: Bacterial small subunit ribosomal RNA
Source: RNAcentral